This 188-nucleotide unclassified non-coding RNA is filed under the name uncultured fungus. Its description in RNAcentral is "sequence contains ITS1". The record is from RNAcentral. Lineage: Eukaryota; Fungi.
UUAACUAUUAUAUAGUACUCAGACGACAUUAACAUAAAGAGUUGGGGUCCUCUGGCGGGCACGAACCAGCCGAAGCCGGUGCCGGGGCGGCCCGCCAAAGCAACAAUGUAUAAGUACGCACGGGUGGGAGGUCUACCCUUGCGGGCAUGAACUCUGUAAUGAUCCUUCCGCAGGUUCACCUACGGAAA